UAGAGUUUUGRWCCUGGYUCAGAGCGAACGCUGGCGGCAGGCUUAACACAUGCAAGUCGAGCGGGCCCUUCGGGGUCAGCGGCGGACGGGUGAGUAACGCGUGGGAACGUGCCUUCUGGUUCGGAAUAACCCUGGGAAACUAGGGCUAAUACCGGAUACGCCCUUUUGGGGAAAGGUUUACUGCCGGAAGAUCGGCCCGCGUCUGAUUAGCUAGUUGGUGGGGUAACGGCCUACCAAGGCGACGAUCAGUAGCUGGUCUGAGAGGAUGAUCAGCCACACUGGGACUGAGACACGGCCCAGACUCCUACGGGAGGCAGCAGUGGGGAAUAUUGGACAAUGGGCGCAAGCCUGAUCCAGCCAUGCCGCGUGAGUGAUGAAGGCCUUAGGGUUGUAAAGCUCUUUUAUCCGGGACGAUAAUGACGGUACCGGAGAAUAGUCCGA
Molecule: ribosomal RNA, 441 nt
Filed under: Methylobacterium radiotolerans
Lineage: Bacteria; Pseudomonadati; Pseudomonadota; Alphaproteobacteria; Hyphomicrobiales; Methylobacteriaceae
Description: bacterial SSU rRNA
Rfam family: Bacterial small subunit ribosomal RNA
Source: RNAcentral